GAUGAACGCUGGCGGCGUGCCUAACACAUGCAAGUCGAGCGAUCUUCUUCGGAAGAGAGCGGCGGACGGGUGAGUAACGCGUGGGUAACCUGCCCUGUACACACGGAUAACAUACCGAAAGGUAUGCUAAUACGAGAUAAUAUGCUUUUAUCGCAUGGUAGAAGUAUCAAAGCUUUUGCGGUACAGGAUGGACCCGCGUCUGAUUAGCUGGUUGGUAAGGUAACGGCUUACCAAGGCGACGAUCAGUAGCCGACCUGAGAGGGUGAUCGGCCACAUUGGAACUGAGACACGGUCCAAACUCCUACGGGAGGCAGCAGUGGGAAUAUUGCACAAUGGGCGAAAGCCUGAUGCAGCAACGCCGCGUGAGCGAUGAAGGCC
RNAcentral lists this ribosomal RNA (378 nucleotides) under uncultured bacterium. RNAcentral's name for it is "bacterial SSU rRNA". It matches the Rfam family "Bacterial small subunit ribosomal RNA", at positions 28 to 416 of the family's 1533-position model. The record is from RNAcentral.